This 1746-nucleotide ribosomal RNA is filed under the name Triticum aestivum (bread wheat). Its description in RNAcentral is "partial small subunit ribosomal RNA". The record is from RNAcentral. Lineage: Eukaryota; Viridiplantae; Streptophyta; Magnoliopsida; Poales; Poaceae.
AACGGGAGGUGGAGGGUGGACCAGAGGAGAGAAGGGCGGAGGAGGGUGCUUUGGGAUCGGCGGCGUGGCACGUCGGCGGCGGCGGCGCGGGAGGAGGAGGAAGGUGGAGGACCGGCCGCGGGUUGGUGGCGCGGGAGAGGAAGGGGGAUGGCGGCCGGAGAGGGAUCCACCGCCGGUCUAGACGGUGUCGGUGUCGGUGCUGCUCCCGAAGACCUAGGCGCGGCGGCAGCUCGACCCGCGCUGGUAAUUGGAGCCUGGUGUGGCGGCGGUGGUACCUACGUGGUAUAGUUCCUUAACGUUCUUUUAGUACUCCUUAAAGAAAGUUCAGCUUACCGACUGUUUCUCGAAGUCCAAGUACCAAGUGGUCCAAGACGACCGAGGUGAUUGUCAACGGAUGUUCGUGAACGUGUCAACCUCCCGCACAAGCCCUCGGGAGGGCGAAGAGUUGAGGAGUUGAGGUGCACUCCUCACGUCGGCUUGCUAGGUUUAGGACCAAUACUCGCUCUCUUCGACCGCUUUGAACGUCACGUUAAAAACGCCUCAGCGCCUCGACCGUUUGAGCUCGAGGAGGUUUUGUCGCUUCGUCCUCAACGGUUCUUAAUGUAGAUUCACGGUGGCGGUUCGAAGGGUGCGCAUCUACCCGACAGUGCGGAUCAACCCGGGAGGGCUCGACGAUAAAGAGUAUCGAUCCACCGACCGCCGGACAAAGUUGCCGGUCUUGCUCCUCGAUGAGAUGGCUUGCUAAACAUUGAGGUCCUAAAAUUGACUCUUCGGCCGACGACCAAAACCCGAUACCUCAACUCCUAAAACUCCGACACCUCUCGAUGGCUUGUGCGGGCCUUAAUCCGUGGUACCCUUCCUAAGUUUAGAGACUCUUCACACGAUUUAGUUAUCACGGUUAGCCAAGUCAAAGUCGAAGUUUUUGUAAUCCACCAACUUUUACCGUAAGAUAUAAAGACGUUGUUCCGAGGGAUUUAUAAGGGAUACAAGAUUUGACCUAAGACUGUUCCCACAUGUGGGACGAUAAACCAGUCUUCAAGCCCUCAAGUAUGAACCAACAAACUAGAGCUCUUGUGGAAACUACUGGUGCUCGUUUAACCCGCUUGGUUUUCCAUGAAGAUCUUGUGCCUGUUAAAGGGAGUUCCAGUUCUGGAGUGUAGUUGCGAAGGUUCGGGGACUACUCGGACAAGGAAAAAAAUUUCAAAGAGUUACAGUGAAGAUAUCCAAAUGAACUCUACAAUACAACGUAUACAACACGACUCCAAAAGGGUGAAGGGAAAAUUGAAGAGACUUCAACUAGUAGUGUACAAAUACGUUAACCUGGUUUCGCUGCUGUAAUGAAUGUCGAAUGGGCCAAUUGUAUUGUCAAUACUUGAUCCUACUUGAAUAUGUACGUCUCUCUCUCUCUCUCUCUCCAACAAAUUUCUUAGGCCACAGAAACACAAACGGAUGUCUUAAGUUAUAAACAAGUACGCCACUAGGAGCCGGAGAGAGAGAGAGAGAGAGAGAGAGAUACACACACACACACACAGGACUGAGAAACACGGACACAACUGGGAAACAAACAGGUACGCUAAAAUGACACCUGAUGAGAAAGAUUAAACCGUACAUCUAUCCCAGUAAAAAUCUAUAAGAUAUCCCACUAAUGACAACAACGUCGCGACCUACCGUACAUCGUCACGACCUAGGCCACCGGUCGGCAGCGGCAACGGACAGGAGAAACUACGCUCUAGGUGCGACGAGGUG